CACGUCAAUGAUCUUAUAGCUUACAUCGUUGCGCGUGUGACAUCAUCGUCCUAUCGAUCGCUUUUUACAUAAACGGAUACAUUUAGCGCUCGCUGACUUGUUUUGUUGUUGAAAUUAACAAUUCGCGGUUUAGUGGAGCUGAACUCGUGGAGGAUUGAGCACACUUCAGCAAACGAGGUCAAUAAAGCGGCCCGCAGACAGCCGAACCCAGUGGCUCGUGUUCUAACGAAGUAAGCAAUUAAAAAGGAUUUGAUAAAAGCAACAACUGCUCUGUUUAUGACAGAGGGGAGGGAAGAACACAAGGGGAACGUAGAAGUGAAGGUUCACUGUGCAAUAGUGACUGCAGUGGACACAGAGCGCGCUCGCGCUGGCUGACCACUGCUGCUGCAGCAGUACGCGCGCGCGGGGAUCAUUCCAAUAGAAAUGCGUGAGAUCUGAUGAACGAGUGCGGUAAGUGAAUCGCAUUCUUACAGUCGGAGAACGACGCCUAAAAUAUCCGUAUCUAUACGUGAGAGCAACAAUAACGGCGCUUAAACUAUUUCAUGCCAUUUCUUGGAGCGCCUUUAACAAUUGCAAGUUUAUAGCAAAUGGUUAUAAAACAAGUUUAACUCGUCUAAUAUAUACGUGAAAAUAAAAAGCUAAUUAUUACAUUUAUAUGUAUUUUUAAUCAUUCCUUUUAUUAACGUUUUCGGGCGCUUUAAUAAAAAAUAACAUGUGUGAUGCGUUUGAAUGUGACGCGCAGUAGUUUACUCUUUACUGUUAAUUCAUUUAAUUCACAAAGAGAUUCACCGUUAUAAUUAUAUGCGUCAGUAAAACAUCUAACAGCUCAUUCUCUCACGACAGCAAACUUUACUGGAUAAAAGACACGCUUCUGCUAUGAAAUUAAAUGAAACUUUUUAUACGGGUUUAUUUUAAAAUGGCAUACAUUGGUUAUCCAUCUUAAUACAUAAAUUUAAUUAGUUGCUCUUUUUUAAAGAAGUAACAAUCAAGCUGCCGAUAAAGCUCACAUAAUGAAAUACUUCAUAGAUAAUUUAUAAAGCUGAAAUAAGUGUCUCCUGCAUUAUCAGGCAGUAAAAUUUCAUCUGCUGGUGUCCAAUUGAGGUCAUGUGAGGGUUAAAGCUCUCCGUGUCUCUGUCCAGCUGCGGCUGAGAAUCUCUUUCAAUGUCACUAUAAUUUAGCUACUACAAUUUUACACUCAUAUCUCCAAACCCAUUUCUGUAUAUUUGGUAAAAUGUAAAAGAUCAUUCAGAGAUUUAUUUUAUCCUUAAGCCUCAGAAAUGUUUUUUUUGGUGAAACAACUUUCUCAGAUAUUCAUCAUGUGAACCAAACCGUUUAACCAAAAUCUAAUUUACCAAAGUGAAUAAACUGUUGAAUAAAUAAUAUAAAUCUUUAACUAAAUUUGACGCAAUACAAUUGAUAUUAUUAAAAUUGAUGAAAGAUUUGCACAGAACAACAGGUCAUGGUCAUUCGCGUAUAACAGCUUUUACAUUUGUAAUAAACAAUCAACCUAAUGUUUACUUUCCCUUUAUUUUUUUUAAAAUCCAUAACAUUUUAAAAUGUUUAAGGGUAUUAACCACCUUAAUUCGCAUAUAUAUUUCGUAAUUAUUAUUAUCCUCAGAGUUUUAUAUUCAAAGUGUUAGUAAUAAUUUAUCUGUUUAAUGCAACUGCUUAACUUCAACUCUCUGUGACGAACAUUUGCGUCCCUAAAAAAAUCUCAAGAUGUUUGUAAAACUUUUGUAAGUAAAUGUAAAUGAUCGUGUGUGAAAGGCGCAUUUUCCUUCAUGGUGCUCAGUAACAUUAUUCUCACGGGACGCUAUGUGUGUGUGUGUGUGGGGGGGGGGGGAUUUAGCGUUUGCGGCUCUUGAGCGACACCUGCCGGAUCCAUCUUUACUGCAUCAGUGCUAAAGUUAAGCAAACUGCUUUAAAAUAAACACUUCUAUCUAAAAGCUACACAAAAACUAUUUAUAAUUGAUUAAAUUACAUCUACAAUAACAGCAAAUUGACGGCCGGGUGAUGAUCUCCGAAGUGUGAAGUAAAUAAAAUAAGCUUUUUAGAAUAGCAAAUAGUUUUGCACACCAGACACUUUAUUUUUUAUUAUCAUUUUGCUUGAAUUUAUUCGUUUUGUUUCGUAAAAUAAAAUGUAGCCUACAAAAUAUAUAUCUGUUAGGCAGUGUACCACAUUCUGUGUUCUAUAAUCUGUCUGUUUUAUUGUGGAUAUUACAAUGAAUAUUAAAGAAUAAACAAAUAUAUAUUUUUAUAAUUAGCCUAUUGUUUUAAAAUAGCUGUGAACUUUAAAACGUUUCUACAUAUUAUUAAAAAUGUAUCGUCCAUUACAAAAAUGUGCAAACCCGUAGCUGUAUAAUAACACAUACAUAUUUAAAUUAUAAUAUUAACAUAUAGGCACAAACUCAAAUUUUCGUAUUUUGUAUUUUAGUCUUCAUUAAAAAUUAAAGAAGAAAGCAAAAACGAGACUACUGCACGUGCCACUGAACAUAUCAGAAUAUUAGUGUAAUUCGAUGUGAUCAGUAAACCCGCAUUCAGACAUUGAGGCAGAUAAUCGACUGUGAUCGGCUCAAUUCUCUAUAGGAUAUUAAACCCAUCCUGGAGCACUGAACCCCGACCAGCUCUUAUUUACUUUCAUUUUAAUAUGUCAAGUAUCACAUAUCUCUAAAACAUUUUGAAUGCUUGUGUGUCUUCGAUAAACAAGAUAUUUAUGUAGACGCAAGAAGGAACAUGAUAUGGGUGGAUUUGAGCAAUAAUAACGGGUUAUUUUUUUGAAGGCUAUGUCGCUCUUCUCGAGAGAGUUAAGACGAUAAAAGUUCUGACUUCUGUACAUUACACGCUUUAUAUUAAUUGAACUGAAUUGUUAAAUAAAGUCUUGCGUCAUUAUGGAACACGCUUUAACAAAUAUACUCUAAUUCUUCUUAUACAAUAACCGACAUGUUAAUUACUAUAUGUGUGCUAUUUAUGUAACCAUCUUACAUACAUUGUUUUCACAAGCAUUUAUAUAUUUUCUAUAUGUCUUCAAAGCUGUCUUAAAUUAUCCAGCCACGUGUUAAAAAUGUAAAAAAUAGUUGUGAAGAAAUCCGUUAACUGCAUAAACGUGUAAAGCUUUGCAUUAGUGUGCUCGUGACGCGUGACAUUUCGUGACUAUGUGUCACUGCAGUAAUGAAACACGAGACACUCCCAUAGACCUGACAUAUAAGCUCAACAGUUUUUACAUGUUUGAUUUCAUUUUUUUAAUCUUCCAUAGAGACAAUGACUUUAAUUGGAGAAAAUAACUUUUAUUAACCAUCUCAAGCGCAGUUUACAGAUCCAGACCGCAGAAGAGGAAUACAAACGUCCUAGACGAGAUCCUUUUUUAUAUGCAUCCUCAGGAAUCUUAUGCCCACACUCUGUCCUGUUUAAACAAAUAACCAACAGAAACAUAUGCUUUUCUAUGACUAUUCAAAUGAAUUGUGUAAAUCUACACAGCUGUGUGUUCAAAUAAACGCCUUUGCCAUCUUUGUUGUUGUUUUGCUUCUCUUACAUCUUCCCGUUUGACUGUAUCUCCCUUGUUUCUGGAGGUGUUUACCCGGGUAAUUACCGCACGCUGUCAAACAGUGGGACCGCUGAUUUAAAUGCGGAGUGAAGUAUCAAAGCUCCGGAUCCACGAACGAGACGCGGCGAGGAUGCGACAGCAGCGCGUGUGAUGUUGCUCUGCACGCGCAUGACCACGAUUUUUACAAGGAUUCCUGGUGGCAUCUUGCUUAUUGAUGCUUGAGAUUUUAAUGAAAGAUAAUCUGAUAUGGUCUUGAAAUGAUAAUAAGCAGGCCUAAUAGUAAUAUUUGUUGUAAAAUCAUCAUGAAUAGCUAAUUGUAAAAUAUUUGAAUGCAGGUUGUCAAGCUUAGGCAACUGUCAGGUUAUCUUUAUAUUGAAAUGUCGUUAAUUAAGAAGUUUUCAAUACAUUUUUUUCUAGAAAACCAGACAAAAAUGCUUAGGUAGAAUGUCAUUUUUUUUGUUGCUGUGCUAACGAUAUAUGGAGACCAGUCUCUUCUCAUUCUGAAUCUCAAAAGUCAAAGUGUUAUAAUUUUGAUUCAAGUCAAGUUUAACUCAAAUUGAGAACAGUACUAAAAGCUAAGCAGCAUUAAGUAAUAAUUAAGUCUAAAGUAGUUACUAGAAAACCUGCUGCAAAACUCUUCGAUUUUCUGGGUGUGCAAAUGUUUGAAGCUCACUCCAGUCUGGAGGGACAUGGGAAGUUUAACAUUAUGAACAUGCCUCACCCCUGCAGCUCGGAGGAACACUUCACGCAGGGAAAUAGCCAUGAAUUAUUGAGAACCAGCUUGCAUUUAAGCUUGAUAUUGAGAAUCAACUCAGAGAGCGGAUGAGGAAAAAACACACAUUCAUAUAUAAAUCUAUAUCAAAGUUGCGACAGUUGUUUUCACAGUGAAGUGAGUUUGGAUGAAUUCUGGCCUGUGACUGAACGUUUCACUGUCUGUCAGGGGCGGAUGGGAUACAAAUGCAAACUCUACAAAGCCAGUUCUUCAUUUCUGUGCUUGACUCAUUAUUAUUGAAGAGGUGAGCACUCACUGAGCUAAACUCAAAUGUGACGGAUUAGUUUUAAACAGAAUGCAGCUUUUAUCAGUCAUGUAGCCUACGUGUGUUUAUGUCCAACGAACAUGCUGCGACAGUUUAUUUUUUAUUUAUCAUAAGGUCAUUUUACUGGGCAAUGAUCAGAAACAUCAGAAAAAUUAAACACUUACUAUUAUAUCGAUGUUUCUCUUAUUACAGUCGAAAUGCCAACGAUCCGCCUUGGUUUAGUGAAUUUCUACAGUAAUUAAAAUAAUGUAUUCAAUACUAACAUCACUGAGACUACAAGAGCUUUCUUAAAGCUUACGUAACAGCUCGAUAUAGCGUUAACAAAUCUAACGGGAUGUGACGUCACAGCGGGUCAAUAUUUUGAAACCCUUCCUGUUAUAUCCACAGGGGGCGACAUCGGAUAUUUAUGCGCAAAGAGCGAUUUAAUAAGAAAAACUUUGACCUGUUCGCUGCGUAAAUCCUAUUGAACAUUAGAAUGAGUGUCUCCCAAGUGAGAGUAUGUUGACAUAAAAUGUACAGAUCCAAGAAAACUCUAACGGCUGAUAUUGAAGCACAAAUCACUGCAAGAAUGGAUGUAGGGUUAAAAUUAGGGAUGCACAGAUAGGAUUUCUUUGGGCCGAUACCAUUUUUAUAUGAUUUUUAUAUUUUUAUACGAUUUGAACAAACAACUCUUUGCCGAUACCGAUAUGGGUCAAUUGCAUACAGUACUAUGCAAUACUAGCUAGUUUUUCUGCAUUCAAUUUAUUUAACUGAACAUGAAUUGGAUCCAUUUAAGAUUUCAAGAGAGGCACAACUGUAAAUGUGGCUAAAUGAAAAUGUAAGUUAAGAUAAAAAUCAAUAAGACAACAUGACAAUCAUCAAAUGUUAUUUUUGCUAUGCAAUAUUUAUUUUAUUAAAAACCUUAACUCAAAUUUGACCUAAAAUGGAUAAUUUCCUUUAUAUAUUUAAAUAAAGUCUGUGCUGGUGCAAUUUACAUUAAUUAUUUUGCUCAGGACAUGCAGUUAAUUAAUAAAAAAGAGGACCUAUGAAAUUCUCUGAAAUUUCUUUUUUCGUGGUGUACAACUAUGUUUAUUAGAACCAGUAUUACAUCUUUUGUUUUUUUCUUUUGCUGUUUUAAGUCUACUUACAUUUAAUUACUUGUUUUGUAAAUCUUUAGUAGCAGUUUUGUUAUGCGGUUAACUGGACUUUUAUUUUGGCGAUGGACUUUAAUUUUGACGUCUUGCCGCAAAGUUUGACAGCAGCUUCACUCAAAUGAAGCUGUAAAAUGCGCCUCAGGUAAACUCUUUUAGAGCAGCGCUGAUUCAGUCUAUGUGUUCGCCUCCACCAGAUGCUAAAAAGUCCACUACAGUAAGUUACACAAAACCACACCACUCAUUCACACGCAGAACUAGCAGAUUGCGUUUUUAAACAGCAGCUGAAUAAUUAUUAGCGCUAUAUAUAGCACAAUUUGAAUUUCGUAAGCUGUUCAGCGGUACUUUCGGUCGUGUUUGAUACUUUCCAUCUGUGUUUUCCGCUUCACGGAAAUCAAAGGGCCCUAAUAAACCUAAAACAUGCUAUUGCCGAUAUGCCGAUGGUGUUUAAUUAAUCCGAUAUAGCCGAUACAUAGGUGCAUUCCUAGUUAAAAUUCAUGGUGAGAUGGCUGAAAAAAAAGCUUAAUAGGACAAAGUAUGUUUAGUGCUGCUAAUAUUGUAGAAAACGCCUAGAUAUGGUCAACCUCAGCUGUCUAAGAGCGGUCUUCAGUGCCAGUCUUAUUGAGAUGGUAAAACAUGCAAAACGCUGGCGGGUGUUUGCGCUUCCACAUUAAGCACGCUUGGCGGAAAACAACAUUUAAGUAACAAACCGAUUUUAAUAUCCAGUAAUGCAGACUAAAAUGGUGAAAACAUAUCAUUUUCAUGUUAAAUGUCAGUUUUACGAUACAAAAACAUUCAGAGACCUUCACUAGUUCACGCUAAACCACAUGGCCUUGCCUCGGGUGUAUUGUUAGGUUGUGGUUAGCCUUUGAAAACAACAAUAUUAGUUCCAAAUAUUCCAAAUGUAAUACCUACAACUCGUUCCUUCAUUUUGUUUCUACAUUAUGUGUAUUUGAGCUAUUUUAACUAAAAGUUUCUACAACUUUUGUAAUUUGAUGUCUAUGCUGUAGCUACACAGGGGUUUCAUAAAAAAAUGGAAUUUAUAUGAUCACUUGCUGACUCUUAUGUCAUUCCAAAUGCUCUUUCAUAAAACAUAGAUUGUAUUCCAAUCUGGUAAUAUCUAUUGACCAUGUGUUUACUUUCUUCACUGACACUUACGAGCAUGAAAAGACAAGACAUGGUCUGAGCUGUUGUUAUCUAAUUUGCACUCCAAAUAUCUUCAAAUGCACAUGUGUAGAUCAAGGAAUGUAAAAGAAAAUGUUUUUGGACCUUGGUAUUUCUAAAUCCUGCGUACGGCCCUGACUGCAACAGGACAGACGAUGCAUUGAAUUAAUCAAUUAAAUAAUAGCCUACAGUAAACAUUACAUAAGAAAUAAGGAAUGAAGAAAAGAUUAAAUGUAAAGUGGAGUUGUAUUUUGAUAUUUGAGAUUGUACACAAUUACAAUGUUCAUUUAGGCCACAACUGUCAAAUUCCGUUAUGCAUUAUGUGUUUCAGUAGGCUACUUACAGUAUUCUUUUGAUUCACUCUUAAAGUUUAUCAUUCACUGCUUAUGUUAAGUGUAUACUAUAACCAGCACUCGUUUUGGAUUUUCCUCAAAAUAGUUGCACUAACAAUCUUACCUGACCUUUAAAAAACUUUAGUCAAAUCUCUAUGCAAUGUAAGGCUUCCUAAUCCCCACACAAUAAUGAGGUAAUUGUGAAUUGGUGUACUAUAAUUGUGCGAGUAAACUAAAAGUCUAUUAGCCAUUUAAAUCCCAUACUCUGCGGUGCACUGCACAGAAUUCACAAGAGAUUCUAAUGUCUCUGAGGACUUUUAAUAUGUAUGAGAAACAUCAAAGAGCUAUAUCCUGACAUGUGGCGUCUCCAAGUCAACAAGCUUAUUAUCACAUAUACUGUAUGCAAAUAUGUUUCACAAUGUUCUUGCCUUCUGUUUGCAGCAGACCCAUGGCAAAUACAGAUCAUACGUCUGAGUUAGAAACUGAUAAUAAUUACAGGAACUACUCGUGUUUGAGUUCCUCAUUAUUUGAUAUUGCAUGUGUAUCUUUUUUUGAAUCCCAUGAAUGGAUCUAAACUUGAUGAUGUGAAUGACAUUCAGAGGGUCGUGAGACGUUUGUUUUUGAAACCUGAUUGCAUUAUUUUCAUUUAAGGGCACAUCUCUUUAUAAUGAAGAGCUCAUCUCAAACAAAUAUUAAAUGCUUAACAUUUGGAGUCGAUUCUAAAAGUUAUUUGCCCAUGUUACAGAUCUGUUUGUCAAAAGUCUCCUUAGUGAUGUUUAUGGUGAAUUAAUACAUUUCUUUGAUCAUCAUAAACGUGUCUAAAAAUAAUGUAGUAAGAGGAGAAUUUACUGUGAUUGGUUCAUUUAUUACAGAUUGAAGAUGAUUCUAGCGCAGUUAUUCCUUUGUAUGUGUUUUUUAAAUAUACAAAACUAAAAAAACUGAAUGGACUGUCAGAGUUUGUCUUGAGGAGAGGAUGUCAUCAUAGAUUCUGGUAAUUGAAUUCUUCCAGCAUCUUCAUUUCUAUAAGAAGCAAAUUUGUGCACUAUUGUCAUUAUGAUUUUUUCUAGCAUUUAGGGUGCAAAUUCAAAUCCUGAGUGAGAUUUCUGAAUCAUUCAAACUGUAUCAUCAACCAAUUGAGGCCACGUCAUAAACAUGUUUCUACAGUUCAGAGGAGAGAUUUGAUUCAUUGUGAACAUCACUCGCUUUGAAACGCAGAACACAAGAUGGGACUGUUGUGAAUGCAUGUCGCACUUAUCAGAAUCCCUGUUCAUUGACCAGCACUCCCAGCUGAGUGUCCGGCGUGAAACAGAAGUGUGUUUUCAUGACAGUGUGUACUGUAGGCCGCGGCAGUUUGUCAACCGGCAGGCGUGCGCGUGUGUAGAUGAGAGUAUCUAUCAUCACGUCCAGCAGAAAUGAUGGAAUUGUCACGAAGCCGUCGCCUUCAUCCUUUUGUUCCCCGCUGCAGUCAGAACAGAGCCGGGUCUCUGUGAAUCUUGUAUUCUCCUUUAAUAGUCACUGGUAGUUAAUUAUUAAAGCCUCCUGCCUCCAUUUCCCUGCUGCAUCCCGUUUUUAUGUCAUCUCCAAAAAACAUCCAGGCAUUCCUUUGUACUUUCCAUCUCCUCCCGCUAUGACCACGAAAAAAAAGAAUCCCUCCCCUCGAAUUCCAGACACUCUCCUCGGGAAGCUGAUGGCGAAUCCACCGGCACGGCGCCCCGCGUGUCAGCACUCAUCCGGCGUCAUGCGAAUUACUGUACAUCAUUAGCCGUGUCGGGAACGACGCCUCUCGCAGGCCACGCGCGGUCCUGCAGACGCCUGCGAGGAGAGCCGCAGAAGAAAACAAAGAACUUUUCUCUCGGUCCCUCUCCUCCAGACCAUCAUCUCCUCUGGAUUUAUGAAUAAAAUAGUACACGCUCAGAAUAGGAUGACGGCAGUGCAGUAACUGUCAAAUGCCGAGAUGAAAUAAUAAAUUCAGGUGCCUUUUUCUGCUCGGUUGAAGGAAACUUUGUUCUUUCACAGGCUGGGUUUUCUUUUUUGUUUUAGUUGUCAGUGGAUGAUUUUAAAAUAUUUUUCUCUUACUUCUGCAAGUUUUUUCACGACUCCUUCAAGGAGCUCAAAAGUUCUAACUGUAUAUUCUGCUUCUUUUAAAGGUUUGAGAGAAUGGUUCUGUGUGAAGGAAACCCCGAGCGCUUCGUUCAUCUAAUGCAGAACAUUCAUCGAAUUUAUGUCCUUAAAAUGUAAUAAAACCGACACUGAACAUCAUUAUAGCUCACGUCAGUUUAUUAGAAUCUUUGAUUGAAGUGCGAAAUGUCUUUUGAUGGCCGAUUGUGUUGAAGAAUUGUGCAGAGGCCAUUUUCAGUGUGUGUGAAACCCACAUCAGUCAUUUACAACAGAACGAAAUCCUUGAUCUUGAAUAGUCUCUUUGCUGCUCAACAUUGUUCAUGAGUUAUCUCACAUUAUUUGUUGUGAAUGUGGAGUAACUGGACAAAGCAUCAUUGUUUUAUCAUCGGAUGGUUUUGUAAUGUGAUUGUCUGAGGCUGUUCAUUCAAGUAACCAUUGAAAAACACACAAAUGUCAAGAUUGAAAAAAACUAU
Triplophysa dalaica is the source of this 9795-nucleotide long non-coding RNA. RefSeq lists it as uncharacterized. Lineage: Eukaryota; Metazoa; Chordata; Actinopteri; Cypriniformes; Nemacheilidae. The transcript has 3 exons. The record is from RefSeq and is a predicted model, not a curated record.